UCCCUCAACCUACUUAUAGACUAUUUUUCUUGCUCUGCAGCAUGGACCAAAGAGAAAUUCUGCAGAAGUUCCUGGAUGAGGCCCAAAGCAAGAAAAUUACUAAAGAGGAGUUUGCCAAUGAAUUUCUGAAGCUGAAAAGGCAAUCUACCAAGUACAAGGCAGACAAAACCUAUCCUACAACUGUGGCUGAGAAGCCCAAGAAUAUCAAGAAAAACAGAUAUAAGGAUAUUUUGCCCUAUGAUUAUAGCCGGGUAGAACUAUCCCUGAUAACCUCUGAUGAGGAUUCCAGCUACAUCAAUGCCAACUUCAUUAAGGGAGUUUAUGGACCCAAGGCUUAUAUUGCCACCCAGGGUCCUUUAUCUACAACCCUCCUGGACUUCUGGAGGAUGAUUUGGGAAUAUAGUGUCCUUAUCAUUGUUAUGGCAUGCAUGGAGUAUGAAAUGGGAAAGAAAAAGUGUGAGCGCUACUGGGCUGAGCCAGGAGAGAUGCAGCUGGAAUUUGGCCCUUUCUCUGUAUCCUGUGAAGCUGAAAAAAGGAAAUCUGAUUAUAUAAUCAGGACUCUAAAAGUUAAGUUCAAUAGUGAAACUCGAACUAUCUACCAGUUUCAUUACAAGAAUUGGCCAGACCAUGAUGUACCUUCAUCUAUAGACCCUAUUCUUGAGCUCAUCUGGGAUGUACGUUGUUACCAAGAGGAUGACAGUGUUCCCAUAUGCAUUCACUGCAGUGCUGGCUGUGGAAGGACUGGUGUUAUUUGUGCUAUUGAUUAUACAUGGAUGUUGCUAAAAGAUGGGAUAAUUCCUGAGAACUUCAGUGUUUUCAGUUUGAUCCAGGAAAUGCGGACACAGAGGCCUUCAUUAGUUCAAACGCAGGAACAAUAUGAACUGGUCUACAAUGCUGUAUUAGAACUAUUUAAGAGACAGAUGGAUGUUAUCAGAGAUAAACAUUCUGGAACAGAGAGUCAAGCAAAGCAUUGUAUUCCUGAGAAAAAUCACACUCUCCAAGCAGACUCUUAUUCUCCUAAUUUACCAAAAAGUACCACAAAAGCAGCAAAAAUGAUGAACCAACAAAGGACAAAAAUGGAAAUCAAAGAAUCUUCCUCCUUUGACUUUAGGACUUCUGAAAUAAGUGCAAAAGAAGAGCUAGUUUUGCACCCUGCUAAAUCAAGCACUUCUUUUGACUUUCUGGAGCUAAAUUACAGUUUUGACAAAAAUGCUGACACAACCAUGAAAUGGCAGACAAAGGCAUUUCCAAUAGUUGGGGAGCCUCUUCAGAAGCAUCAAAGUUUGGAUUUGGGCUCUCUUUUGUUUGAGGGAUGUUCUAAUUCUAAACCUGUAAAUGCAGCAGGAAGAUAUUUUAAUUCAAAGGUGCCAAUAACACGGACCAAAUCAACUCCUUUUGAAUUGAUACAGCAGAGAGAAACCAAGGAGGUGGACAGCAAGGAAAACUUUUCUUAUUUGGAAUCUCAACCACAUGAUUCUUGUUUUGUAGAGAUGCAGGCUCAAAAAGUAAUGCAUGUUUCUUCAGCAGAACUGAAUUAUUCACUGCCGUAUGACUCUAAACACCAAAUACGUAAUGCCUCUAAUGUAAAGCACCAUGACUCUAGUGCUCUUGGUGUAUAUUCUUACAUACCUUUAGUGGAAAAUCCUUAUUUUUCAUCAUGGCCUCCAAGUGGUACCAGUUCUAAGAUGUCUCUUGAUUUACCUGAGAAGCAAGAUGGAACUGUUUUUCCUUCUUCUCUGUUGCCAACAUCCUCUACAUCCCUCUUCUCUUAUUACAAUUCAAAUGAUUCUUUAUCACUGAAUUCUCCAACCAAUAUUUCCUCACUAUUGAACCAGGAGUCAGCUGUACUAGCAACUGCUCCAAGGAUAGAUGAUGAAAUCCCCCCUCCACUUCCUGUACGGACACCUGAAUCAUUUAUUGUGGUUGAGGAAGCUGGAGAAUUCUCACCAAAUGUUCCCAAAUCCUUAUCCUCAGCUGUGAAGGUAAAAAUUGGAACAUCACUGGAAUGGGGUGGAACAUCUGAACCAAAGAAAUUUGAUGACUCUGUGAGACUUAGACCAAGCAAGAGUGUAAAACUCCGAAGUCCUAAAUCAGGUAAAAAUUUCUCUUGGCUUUAGAUGACAUUUAGCCCUAAGAUUGGAAGAAUGGUUCGUUAAGUUUAGAGUAAUUCACUUCAGGAAGUUACUUGGUUCCCAUAAUAGCUUCCAGUAUUCAUUGAUUUAUUUCUGGCUUUCCCAGACUAGAAAUUUUGUAAAGAG
Molecule: small RNA, 2258 nt
Filed under: Pan troglodytes (chimpanzee)
Lineage: Eukaryota; Metazoa; Chordata; Mammalia; Primates; Hominidae
Description: retained intron
Source: RNAcentral